Non-coding RNA from Chlorocebus sabaeus (green monkey), 1390 nucleotides. NCBI's taxonomy places the organism in Eukaryota, Metazoa, Chordata, Mammalia, Primates, Cercopithecidae. The record is from RefSeq and is a predicted model, not a curated record.
CUCCCAAACUACUGGGAUUACAGACAUGAACCACCGCUCCUGCUAGUGUUUUUAAAUAAAGGGGAAAAUAUAAUGAUAGGCAGAGAUGUUUUGGAAAGUAUUUUCAUGGCAAGUGCCUAAAAGUAGGAGUCAGAGAAACCUAAGUCCAUGAGUUGGCCAAGAGACUGAAAAGACCCUCAAGAGAAAAGAUGGGAUGGGAGGAAGGCAGCUGGCAUCACAGCCAAGGCAGCACCACAAUGUGCUGGAACUCCCCAGCAUUCUGACCCAAUGACCUACUUCGUGCAAUGCUGGGAGUGCUGUAGAACACAGCAAAGUGUAACAACAGAGCCUUAUAAGUGCAAAACACCCUGUGCCUAUGGGCCCUUAAUUGAGAACUGCUUGUACUUUCACCAGAUGAUUGGAUUAACAGCAGCGCUUGCCCUAUGGCAGGAAGCGUGACUAUUUUCUCAGAGUAAAAGAGGCACUAAUUUUGGGACUUGGCCCUGGCUCACAUAGGAAGGGGGCGGGAGAGUCUGACUCUACUGACAAUGGAAGUCCAGCCAGGAGGGCAAAGAACAAUGUCCUCAGGUAAAGCCAUUCGUGUCCGGCACAUCUGUGGCUUGGUGGUGACUUCCAUUCACCAACCAGCCUGGGUUUUGGGGACAGGCUCUCAAGUCCCAAGGAGAGAGUAGGCAGAUGCAAGGCAAAGCUCUCAUGCCAGAAGAAGUAUGGAGAGUGGGCCUGGCAGUACCGUAUGAUGCCUGCUGUCUUGAUAUAAUGAUAAAUAACAUGCUUUUUUGUCCUCAACAGGCUCCUACUUAGGACAAUAAAUUAUAUGUCAUUUUUGGCACGGAAUACUUGGAAGAAUCCCCAGAAAAACAACUUUGCAACAGGAACCAAGGCAAAAGCCAGCUUUAUAAACUGGGGCAAGAAAGAAUCAAGGGGGAAAAAGAAAAGAAAAGAAACCAGAGGCUUCCAGUCAGGUUGAACAGUGUAAACAAGCUCGGUUGAUCCAUCUAAAGUCAUCAUGAUAAUCCCAUUCUCCUUGCCAAUGAUUGGUCCACGGAUGGCUGAUGAAAUAUGCAGAAGAAUGCAAUGGGACACCAGAGAACUUGCUUGCUCUCUCUCUAUGCCAUGUGAGGACACAAUGAGAAGAUGGCCAUUUCCAAGCCAGAAAGAGAGUCCUCACUUCACCUUACCAGCGUGGCACCCUGCUCUUGGACUUCCAAUCUCCAAAACUGUAAGAAAAUAAAUUUCCGUAUUUUGUUAUGUCAACCUGAGCUGACUGACAAAAAGGACUUAAUGGGCCCAAUGCGGAGGCUCAUGCCCAUAAUCCCAGCACUUUGGGAGGCUGAUGCAGGCAGAUGACCUGAGGUCGGGAGCUUGAGACCAGUCUGACCAACAUGGAGAA